This 225-nucleotide ribosomal RNA is filed under the name uncultured Desulfosporosinus sp. RNAcentral's name for it is "partial 16S ribosomal RNA". It matches the Rfam family "Bacterial small subunit ribosomal RNA", at positions 568 to 792 of the family's 1533-position model. The record is from RNAcentral. Lineage: Bacteria; Bacillati; Bacillota; Clostridia; Eubacteriales; Desulfitobacteriaceae.
UGCGUAGGUGGUUGUUUAAGUCCGUUGUGAAAGAUCAGGGCUCAACCCUGAGAGUGCAUCGGAAACUGGGCAUCUUGAGGACAGGAGAGGAAAGUGGAAUUCCUAGUGUAGCGGUGAAAUGCGUAGAUAUUAGGAGGAACACCAGUGGCGAAGGCGACUUUCUGGACUGUAACUGACGCUGAGGCGCGAAAGCGUGGGGAGCAAACAGGAUUAGAUACCCUGGUA